This 180-nucleotide ribosomal RNA is filed under the name uncultured bacterium. Its description in RNAcentral is "partial 16S ribosomal RNA". It matches the Rfam family "Bacterial small subunit ribosomal RNA", at positions 338 to 509 of the family's 1533-position model. The record is from RNAcentral.
CCUACGGGAGGCAGCAGUAGGGAAUUUUCGGCAAUGGGGGAAACCCUGACCGAGCAACGCCGCGUGAGCGAAGAAGGCCUUUCGGGUCGUAAAGCUCUGUUGUAAAGGAAGAACGGCGCAUACAGGAAAUGGUAUGCGAGUGACGGUACUUUACCAGAAAGCCACGGCUAACUACGUGCC